CAGCAGCCGCGGGAAUACAGAGGGUGCGAGCGUUAAUCGGAUUUACUGGGCGUAAAGCGUGCGUAGGCGGCUUCUUAAGUCGGAUGUGAAAUCCCUGAGCUUAACUUAGGAAUUGCAUUCGAUACUGGGAAGCUAGAGUAUGGGAGAGGAUGGUAGAAUUCCAGGUGUAGCGGUGAAAUGCGUAGAGAUCUGGAGGAAUACCGAUGGCGAAGGCAGCCAUCUGGCCUAAUACUGACGCUGAGGUACGAAAGCAUGGGGAGCAAACAGGAUUAGAUACCUCUGUAGUCCCUGUCUCUUAUAC
This 301-nucleotide ribosomal RNA is filed under the name uncultured bacterium. Its description in RNAcentral is "partial 16S ribosomal RNA". It matches the Rfam family "Bacterial small subunit ribosomal RNA", at positions 509 to 807 of the family's 1533-position model. The record is from RNAcentral.